Molecule: non-coding RNA, 84 nt
Organism: Zopfochytrium polystomum
Lineage: Eukaryota; Fungi; Chytridiomycota; Chytridiomycetes; Chytridiales; Chytridiaceae
Source: the annotation of a GenBank genome assembly
GCCCCAUUGGCGGAGUGGCUAACGCGGUGUCCAUUUAAGGCAUUUCCCUUCCAGGGAGUGCAGGUUCGAGUCCUGUGUGGGGCG